This is a long non-coding RNA of Tribolium castaneum (red flour beetle), 764 nucleotides long. RefSeq lists it as uncharacterized. The record is from RefSeq and is a predicted model, not a curated record. Lineage: Eukaryota; Metazoa; Arthropoda; Insecta; Coleoptera; Tenebrionidae. The transcript is spliced from 6 exons.
UGGUCUUCUGUUUCAUUUAGGUAUGUAGCUAAGCCAAUAAGUGUGUUGUUUACAAUGCCCUCAAUUUGAGGAAGCCCUCGUCCACCAUCUCGUCGUGGGACAUAUAAUCGAUGCACGUCGGCUCUAGGAUGUAGUAGCCCGUUGAGGAUCCGAUACAUUGUGGUGGCCAGGGAUUUCUUAAAGAAGAUUAGUGAUGUUUUUGCUGACUAAUCCUGUAACUCCAAUAAUAAUCGCCUCUUUUUGGAUGACGUUGUAGUCGGAUGGAAUUGCUACGUCUAUUAGUUGGCAUAAGUUGUGCUUUUUGUCUUUAACUACAAUGUCAAGCUUAUUUGCUAAGAUUGUCUGGUCAGUGUGGAUUUGCAUGUUCCAGAGUAUUGUAACAUCUCCUGUUUCUUCUACUGGUCGAGUGUAUUUGGGAAGCUACUGAAUCAUGGCGUUGUGUGUACUCUCUUGGGGCUAAUAUAGGACAACCAGUUAACAGCCCUCGUCCACCAUCUCGUCGUGGGACAUAUAAUCGAUGCACGUCGGCUCUAGGAUGUAGUAGCCCGUUGAGGGAUGAAGCUGAUAUCCAGUUGACGACUCCUUUAGCUCAGAUGUCAGCGGAAACAAUGCGAUACAAAAUAGAAGUGGAGAUAGCGAAUCUCCUUGAAAGAUGCCUCGUUUUAUUUUUACUUCUUUUAUUUCUACACUGUUAAAGUAAUUUUUUGCUAAUAGAUUUUUUGACCAAUUUUGCAUUGUUCUUGCAAUAAAGUUUAUUAUUACUU